UCCACGCCCUAAACGAUGUCAACUAGGUGUUGGGAGGGUAAAACCUUUUAGUACCGGAGCUAACGCGUGAAGUUGACCGCCUGGGGAGUACGGCCGCAAGGUUAAAACUCAAAGGAAUUGACGGGGACCCGCACAAGCGGUGGAUGAUGUGGAUUAAUUCGAUGCAACGCGAAAAACCUUACCUACCCUUGACAUGUCCAGAAGCUCUUAGAGAUUUGAGUGUGCCCGAAAGGGAGCUGGAACACAGGUGCUGCAUGGCUGUCGUCAGCUCGUGUCGUGAGAUGUUGGGUUAAGUCCCGCAACGAGCGCAACCCUUGUCGUUAAUUGCCAUCAUUUAGUUGGGCACUUUAACGAGACUGCCGGUGACAAACCGGAGGAAGGUGGGGAUGACGUCAAGUCCUCAUGGCCCU
This 410-nucleotide ribosomal RNA is filed under the name uncultured bacterium. RNAcentral's name for it is "bacterial SSU rRNA". It matches the Rfam family "Bacterial small subunit ribosomal RNA", at positions 794 to 1202 of the family's 1533-position model. The record is from RNAcentral.